AUGGAUCAUGCAGGUUGCUCUGCAGGUUGGUCUAAAGACACUGGUAGAAUUGCACCUGCAAGCUCUGAACAUUCAUGUCAUCAGGUGAUUAGCUUGCUGCUUAGAUUAGGACACAACAGAGGCUUAUCAGCAUGUGUGCGACUAACAACCCAUUGCAGCUGUGCUUGGUCGAUGUGGACUAUUCUUUCCUCAACACAAGAAAAAUUCAAUUGUCUUCGUGGGAAAUUAAUUGCACAAUUAUUUCAGACAAGUAUGGGUGGAGUAUUAUCUUCUACAGAUCAGGUGGCAAUGGUACUCCCAACGAAUCAGCAGAAGAUUACACCAUGA
RNAcentral lists this ribosomal RNA (327 nucleotides) under Triticum aestivum (bread wheat). RNAcentral's name for it is "partial small subunit ribosomal RNA". The record is from RNAcentral. Lineage: Eukaryota; Viridiplantae; Streptophyta; Magnoliopsida; Poales; Poaceae.